CCAGACUGGUGGAAACAAUUACCAUUUUGAAUAUUAAUGUUCAGUUUACAUUAGUAGGUGUUAGUGAGGGAUGUUGUUAUUUGUAUAGUUGUAGAAAAUGGAUUGUUGACUGUCAUUAUCCUGCAGUAAAAUUGUUGACUGUGGUUAUUCUGUAGUAAAAGAACCAGAGCAGAGAUUGUGUGUCUUCCGUGAUGACGAUGAUUGCAAGUUCAAGUUUGUUUACAAACUCGACGAGAACAACAAGCCUUAUGUUUGGGCACAGAGAACAAAAGAUUGUCCAGAACCAAUUAACAUUUUGGCAAUUGUCCUUGGCGUUAUUGGCGGGAUUGUCUUGGUGGGACUAGCGCUUCUACUCAUCUGGAAACUUUUUACCACUAUUCACGACCGCAGAGAAUUUGCCAAGUUUGAGAAGGAAAGACAGAUGGCAAAAUGGGACACUGGCGAAAAUCCUAUUUAUAAGCAAGCAACAACAACUUUCAAGAACCCUACUUAUGGUGGGAAACAGUGAGGAUCGUCUGUCCUCUAGUAUGGGAAGACAAGCCAGUGCUUUCUGCUACUCUACUGCCACAUAAUUGUUUGUCUUCCAUUGAAAUCUGUUUUACCUCUGAAGUUCAAUUAAUGAAUAUCACAAGCUUCUUCCUUUAAUCGGCAAGUAAUGAACUGUCGAGGUAGAAUAUAACAGUUGUGUUGUCUGAAUAUCACAAGCUUCUUCUUUUAAUUGGCAAGUAAUGAACUGUCAAGGUAGAAUAUAACAGUUGUGUUGUCUGAAUAUCACAAGCUUCUUCCUUUAAUUGGCAAGUAAUGAACUGUCAAGGUAGAAUAUAACACUUGUGUUGUCUGAAUAUCUCAAGCUUCUUCCUUUAAUUGGCAAGUAAUGAACUGCCAAGGUAGAAUAUAACACUUGUGUUGUCUGAAUAUCCCAAGCUUCUUCCUUUAAUCAGCAGCUAAUGAACCAAUAAUGUAGAAUAUAACAGUUGUGUUGUCUGAAUAUCACAAGCUUCUUCCUUUAAUCGGCAAGUAAUGAACCAAUAAUGUAGAAUAUAACACUUGUGUUGUCUGAAUAUCACAAGCUUCUUCCUUUAAUCAGCAGGUAAUGAACUGUCGAGGUAGAAUAUAACACUUGUGAAUUGGUUUUUGGUGUUAAAUCUGAAUUUUUCUAUUAACCCAAAUUAACUAAGAUUGACAUGGAUUUUUAUAACAAGUUUUUUUAUAUCAAUUAUUUUCCUUGUUAAAGUUUUUCUGAAAUAUUUGUUUUUGUGUAUUAACUAGUUUGUAUAUUGUUAAUUAAGGUAUCAAAUCUUGUGCUGUAAUCUGAGACUAAAGUGACCUGUGUGCAAAGUUUGAUAAAGAAUUUUAAAAGAACAACAAACAAACACGGCACUAUAUAUAUAAGUUCAAAUAUAUGAAAUUCACCUGUCUUUGGUAUGAAUGUAAUUAUAAACCAACUGGUUUUCAAUACUGCAGAAUGUUAAGAUGGAAAUGCAUCAACAUCCUCUACAUUUUGGUGUGUGUGUUAUUUUGAGGCCAAGGUAUCUACAUCGACAUCGUGUACCUUUUGUUGUGUGUAUUAUUUUGUGGCCAAGGUAUCUACAUCGACAUCAUGUACCUUUUGUUGUGUGUAUUAUUUUGUGGCCAAGAUAUCUACAUCGACAUCAUGUACCUUUUGUUGUGUGUAUUAUUUUGAGGCCAAGGUAUCUCCAAGUUUUUUACUCCUCUGUGUAUUUAAGUAAAGAUGAAAAACCUAAUAUUAAGAAUCUCAACUAGACAUAUAAAAUAUUUCUGUACUGAAAUCAUCAAACUGUGGUAGUUGUGUAUUGAUAUCAGAGUAAACAAAGGCAUGGUAUGUACUCGUUUAAUUUGAAUAUUUUUCUACCUAUUAUUCUCUAAAAGCUUUUUUUGCUCUCUUCUUGAAUUUGAAAUCCAGUUCCAAAUUCCUUAAUGCUGAUUUUUGUUCUAAUGUUUAUUAGCCUAAUUUCAGUAUUACAUUCUUGAUUGUGGGUAAACAUUUAAUUUGGUUUAUAAUUUUCAGAUAUUAAAGUUACCGAAAAAUAUGUCAUAGGUUGAGGUUGGUAAAAUUAUUUGAAGAGUAGCCAAAUGUUUUGAAGAAUACAUAGUAUGUCUUAAAGUGUGCUGAAAACAACAAAUGUGUGGUUUUACAAUUUAUAAGUAAAAUCACUUUCUUGUUAGUUAUAGAAUAAUGGUGAUUUUAUUUUUGUUGUGCCUCUAACUUAAGCCUUUUUAUUAUUCAAACAUUGUUUUGUGAAUCCUAACAACACCUGAAGAAUAUUUUCAUAAGGUAGCUAGCUUACAUUUUAUGUUGCUUCUCUUUCAUUGUUCUCUGUCUGAAUGUAAUGAAGAUGAUCAUUUCUUUUUUGAGGUUGAUCAAAUCUUAGUAUUGUUAUUUCAUUCUUCAGAAUGUCGUAACCUACUAAGCUCCUUUGUGUAUUUCGUGUUUUGACAUCUGAUGACGUAGCGUUAUUUCAGAAUUACAUUCAGUUUGGUUGUCCUUUAGUAUUUUUGUCUUAUUUAUUAGGUUGUAAUUUUACUGACAUUUGAAUAUAUUUGUAUUUGUUUUAAUUCUAUGAGUAUUAUAUUGAACAGCUUAACCUUUAACAAGCUUAAAAUUUUGAAAGAACAGUGGAAUUCCAACCUGUUCUUGUUAGCUGGUGAGUGAAUGAUGAGAGUAUUUCAUGUCAAGGUAUUAAGAUUUAUAAGGUGACACAAAUAUUAAUUUUUUUAUUCAACAUCUACCCAAGUGCCAUUAGUGUUAGAAUUAGAUUUGGCUGUUCUCCACAGGUGUGAUACGCUUCACUUUGAUAAAAUGAGAUGUUUUAUAUAAGCAGGGUUUUUUGCUUAUGUUUUUUUUUGGAAUUUUUUGUUACUACUUUUAAUGUUUUUAUUUGUUUAAUAACAUUUAUCUAAAAAUACGAUUCUUUGUUCAUUGUUGUGUAUGUGAAAGUUUUACCUUGGUAUCUCCAGUUUUUCCUGUGUUAGGAAAACUGGGUUCUUCCCUUGAUAUCUCCAGCUUUUCCUAUGAUAUUUUACCUGUUCUUCCCGUGGUAUCUUCAACUUUUCAUGUGUUAUUUUUCCAGAUCCAAAUCAGUUUUCCUUUGGUAUCUCCAGCUUUUCCUAUGAUAUUUUACCUGUUCUUCCCUUGGUAUCUUCAGCUUUUCGUGUGUUAUUUUACCAGAUCUGAAUCAGAUCUUCCCUUCAUAUCUCCAAUUCUUCCUGUGUUAUUUUACCAAAUCUGGGUGCCUCUGUGAAGAAACAAACAUCCCUAAUGUCAGAGAUUAUUGUGAUUGAUACUGGGUUGUUUUGUGAUUUUUAUAAAUGCAUUCUACCUUCUCAUCUACAAAGGUAACAUGAGUGUCUACUGAUCAGGCCCCUCAGUGGUACAGCGGUAUGUCUGCGGACUUACAACGCUAGAAAUCCGGUUUCGAUACCCGUGGUGGGCAGAGCACAAAUAGCCCAUUGUGUAGCUUUAUGCAUAAAUUCAAACAAACUACUGGUCAGCUUGUUAUUGUGUUUUAUUUCUGAUAGUGGUGGUGUGAUAACCUCUGGGACUGUGUGUGUGUCUGUCAGUCAGAUUCACUGGUCAGCUUGCUAGUACUGAGAGUGAUGGUGUGGUAACCUCUGGAACUGUGUCUACUGGUCAGCUUGUGAGUACUGAUAGUGGUGGUGUGAUAACCUCUGGGACUGUGUGUGUGUCUGUCAGUCAGAUUCACUGGUCAGCUUGUAAGUACUGAGAGUGAUGGUGUGGUAACCUCUAGAACUGUGUCUACUGGUCAGCUUGUAAGUACUGAGAGCAGUGGUGAGAUAACCUCUGGAAGUGUGUCUACUGGUCAGCUUGUUAGUACUGACAGGAAGAGUGUAGUAACCUCUGUGAAGUUUAUAAUAGUUAAGUGCAAGAUGAUUUUACUAACAAAUGUUUCAAUGUAUAUGCCAUUUGUAAUAGAGAUUAUCAUAAAACAAAAUGUUAUUAAGUAGGUGAUUUCUAUAAUGAAAACAUCUUUCUGUUGUAGUAAACUACAAGUUUCAGCCAGUCAUGUUUGUAAAGCUUAAUCAGAACUUUUUAGAUUGCUUUUUAAAAAGUAACAAUGAGUAUUUGGAGGAAGGAAACUGAAUCACUCAGGAGAAAUAUGUAACAAGGAAUUUUAACCUUAAUGUGUUUUAACAAAUAAAGUUUUCCAUUAAUGUA
Limulus polyphemus (Atlantic horseshoe crab) is the source of this 4198-nucleotide long non-coding RNA. RefSeq lists it as uncharacterized. The transcript has 4 exons. The record is from RefSeq and is a predicted model, not a curated record. NCBI's taxonomy places the organism in Eukaryota, Metazoa, Arthropoda, Merostomata, Xiphosura, Limulidae.